CAAGCACCGACCUUCCACACUCAUCAGAGGGUCAUUAGAGGACAAUUCAGCGCGUUAAAAGGAUGAUAAGUCCCUCUAGCAGCCGCCUCUUGCUGUGAUGGAUAGAUGAUGGCUUUCGUCUCUUCCUUCUCUCCUCGUUUCGCCCCGCCCUGUGUAGGCCUCGGGCUGCGGCGCCUGGAAUGGCGGCGCUCGCUCGUCCUGCAGGCCUCACCUUCCUCGCUCUCUCGCUCCCCGAGGGACAGGCUUCAGGGACGUUUGGUGCAGCGCCGUCUGCACUUUUGGAGAUUUGAAUCAAGUUCUCCAUUGCAGAGUUGGAGUUCCCAGGCUGACGGGGAUGGUGAGGGUGAUUAUGCCUAAGAGGAACAUUCGUAUACAGAUGUUUCGUCCAGAGUCCGAAGGCGGAGCCAAAACACCUCUGGCGGAUCUCUCCACAUUUGCACGCGACGUUCGGCCAAACCCCGAGCGUUUUAAAUGUAGAUUAAGUCCAUUUGUACUUCCGACUGAGGCUUCUGGUGCUGUUGUUUUUCCUUGUUAGAUUGAAUGGUUGGUAACUUUCAUUUAACCAAAAAAUGUAUGCACUAUAAAGCAGAGAGUGGCAUGGGGGAUGCAAGAUGAGCCGACUGAGAGCGAACUUCGUAAACGGAGAAACGUGUUUAAUAGAAUUCAGAUUGACAGCACAUCUUUCUGCAUAAGCAUAUCAUUAAUUAAGAUUACAUUGAAUAAUAGUGAAAAGAAAAAAAAAAA
Molecule: RNA transcript, 744 nt
Organism: Penaeus monodon (black tiger shrimp)
Lineage: Eukaryota; Metazoa; Arthropoda; Malacostraca; Decapoda; Penaeidae
Exons: 2
Source: RefSeq, a predicted model, not a curated record